GGCUCAGGAUGAACGCUAGCUACAGGCUUAACACAUGCAAGUCGAGGGGCAGCAUGGUCUUAGCUUGCUAAGGCCGAUGGCGACCGGCGCACGGGUGAGUAACACGUAUCCAACCUGCCGUCUACUCUUGGACAGCCUUCUGAAAGGAAGAUUAAUACAAGAUGGCAUCAUGAGUCCGCAUGUUCACAUGAUUAAAGGUAUUCCGGUAGACGAUGGGGAUGCGUUCCAUUAGAUAGUAGGCGGGGUAACGGCCCACCUAGUCUUCGAUGGAUAGGGGUUCUGAGAGGAAGGUCCCCCACAUUGGAACUGAGACACGGUCCAAACUCCUACGGGAGGCAGCAGUGAGGAAUAUUGGUCAAUGGGCGAGAGCCUGAACCAGUCAAGUAGCGUGAAGGAUGACUGCCCUAUGGGUUGUAAACUUCUUUUAUAAAGGAAUAAAGUCGGGUAUGGAUACCCGUUUGCAUGUACUUUAUGAAUAAGGAUCGGCUAACUCCGUGCCAGCAGCCGCGGUAAUACGGAGGAUCCGAGCGUUAUCCGGAUUUAUUGGGUUUAAAGGGAGCGUAGAUGGAUGUUUAAGUCAGUUGUGAAAGUUUGCGGCUCAACCGUAAAAUUGCAGUUGAUACUGGAUAUCUUGAGUGCAGUUGAGGCAGGCGGAAUUCGUGGUGUAGCGGUGAAAUGCUUAGAUAUCACGAAGAACUCCGAUUGCGAAGGCAGCCUGCUAAGCUGCAACUGACAUUGAGGCUCGAAAGUGUGGGUAUCAAACAGGAUUAGAUACCCUGGUAGUCCACACGGUAAACGACGAAUACUCGCUGUUUGCGAUAUACUGCAAGCGGCCAAGCGAAAGCGUUAAGUAUUCCACCUGGGGAGUACGCCGGCAACGGUGAAACUCAAAGGAAUUGACGGGGGCCCGCACAAGCGGAGGAACAUGUGGUUUAAUUCGAUGAUACGCGAGGAACCUUACCCGGGCUUAAAUUGCAGAUGAAUUACGGUGAAAGCCGUAAGCCGCAAGGCAUCUGUGAAGGUGCUGCAUGGUUGUCGUCAGCUCGUGCCGUGAGGUGUCGGCUUAAGUGCCAUAACGAGCGCAACCCUUGUUGUCAGUUACUAACAGGUUCCGCUGAGGGCUCUGACAAGACUGCCAUCGUAAGGUGUGAGGAAGGUGGGGAUGACGUCAAAUCAGCACGGCCCUUACGUCCGGGGCUACACACGUGUUACAAUGGGGGGUACAGAGGGCCGCUACCACGCGAGUGGAUGCCAAUCCCCAAAACCUCUCUCAGUUCGGACUGGAGUCUGCAACCCGACUCCACGAAGCUGGAUUCGCUAGUAAUCGCGCAUCAGCCACGGCGCGGUGAAUACGUUCCCGGGCCUUGUACACACCGCCCGUCAAGCCAUGGGAGCCGGGGGUACCUGAAGUGCGUAACCGCGAGGAGCGCCCUAGGGUAAAACUGGUG
Molecule: ribosomal RNA, 1448 nt
Filed under: uncultured organism
Description: SSU rRNA
Rfam family: Bacterial small subunit ribosomal RNA
Source: RNAcentral